GUUCUUACUUCAUUGCAUCUUAAAUAGGAGAACUCCAUCAGCCCCUCUUAUUGUCCUUAACAGUCAUCUUCCUUCAUCAGCAGGUGCCUGUGUUGCUUUUCUUUCAGUAGUGGUGAUCACAAAGGCUGCUUGUUAUCACCGGGGUUUAACAAAGGGCUUCUUACAGAGUUUAUUGGCAUUCUGUCCACCUCCAAUCAUGGAAACAAAAAAACCCUUUUCUUUUUGCUCUCUGAUCUCAUCUUUCAUGGAGGUGGGCAAACUGCCAACUGGGCUCUGUUGGCUUCUCUUUGUAAAAUCCUUGUGAUGCAUUUCUUCUACCAACUCUCAGGAUCCAGAAAAGGAUAAGAAAAGAAAUGGAGUGAAGCCAAAUUUACUAUCUGCCUAGUACUUUUCAUCAUUCUUCUGUUAUUCACAGGGUUUGAUUGUUAGCAGUUAUGUGAGGUCUGAGGAUGUUAUUCGGUCAUAUUCUACAUUGAACUCCUUUGAGGCUUUUGACCUGCACAAUUAUUUUCUACUUUUUCCCAGCCAUCAAAUAGUAGUCUUGAAGUUGCAGUGCUCCAUCUAGGGUUUUAUGAUUAGCCUCUUGUUUUUGUUUUUUGUAUGCAUCGGAGUCAGGAAAGAUGUUUGAAUUUCAUAUCCAAAUCCAAGUAAAACCCUUCAAAACAAACUACUUGGGAUACUGUAUUGUCCUAGAAAACCAAACAACAGAAACAAGGAGAUUUAAUUAGAUUUUCAUAACAUCCUAAAUGAUGACCCCAUUGAAGGCUUUGAAUCAAACAUUUUUGUUUCUUGAA
This is a long non-coding RNA of Gossypium raimondii (Peruvian cotton), 794 nucleotides long. RefSeq lists it as uncharacterized. NCBI's taxonomy places the organism in Eukaryota, Viridiplantae, Streptophyta, Magnoliopsida, Malvales, Malvaceae. The record is from RefSeq and is a predicted model, not a curated record. The transcript has 2 exons.